RNAcentral lists this ribosomal RNA (468 nucleotides) under uncultured bacterium. RNAcentral describes it as "partial 16S ribosomal RNA". It matches the Rfam family "Bacterial small subunit ribosomal RNA", at positions 28 to 507 of the family's 1533-position model. The record is from RNAcentral.
GAUGAACGCUGGCGGCGUGCUUAACACAUGCAAGUCGAACGGAAAGGCCAGUGCUUGCACUGGUACUCGAGUGGCGAACGGGUGAGUAACACGUGGGUGAUCUGCCCUGCACUUCGGGAUAAGCCUGGGAAACUGGGUCUAAUACCGGAUAGGACAAUGGUUUGGAUGCCGUUGUGGAAAGUUUUUUCGGUGUGGGAUGAGCUCGCGGCCUAUCAGCUUGUUGGUGGGGUAAUGGCCUACCAAGGCGUCGACGGGUAGCCGGCCUGAGAGGGCGUACGGCCACAUUGGGACUGAGAUACGGCCCAGACUCCUACGGGAGGCAGCAAUGGGGAAUAUUGCACAAUGGGCGCAAGCCUGAUGCAGCGACGCCGCGUGGGGGAUGACGGCCUUCGGGUUGUAAACUCCUUUCGCUAGGGACGAAGCGUAUUUGUGACGGUACCUGGAGAAGAAGCACCGGCUAACUACGUG